GGAGACGUGGCCGAGUGGUUAUGGCGCAAGUUUCAGGCUAACUGGAACAUGCUUCCGAGGAAGUACUAUACUUGUGGGAAACCGCAUGGGUUCGAAUCCCAUCGUCUUCA
Exophiala mesophila is the source of this 110-nucleotide transfer RNA. It matches the Rfam family "tRNA". Rfam says of the family: Transfer RNA (tRNA) molecules are approximately 80 nucleotides in length. Their secondary structure includes four short double-helical elements and three loops (D, anti-codon, and T loops). The record is from Rfam. Lineage: Eukaryota; Fungi; Ascomycota; Eurotiomycetes; Chaetothyriales; Herpotrichiellaceae.